GAGCGUGACAGUUCCCUUGGUCCUCUUUAGGAUGCCGACGGCUUCUUCGUGCGUGACGCCCUCCAGACUCUGCCCAUUAACGGCCAUGAUUUGGUCUCCUCUCUUCAGACGGCCGUCUUCUGCUGCUGCCCCCUAAAUGACCUUCAUCGUUUCAUGCCGCUGACUAAUGGUCCAACUAUCGAUCCAGCAAUUUCAUAUUUUUCCAGUGGGCCUCUGCGCAAAUGUGGCUUAUGCUCCUCGGAAAGCGGCAGACAAACAGCUGUCCCAGGCCCUGGCCAGACUUCUUGUGGAGCUCGACCGUGAACGAGUCCCACAGGUCUUCCUCCUUGUACUGGGCCUCGUCCCUGUAGACCACCAGCCGGACUCUCUGAGGGGUCUGCCGCAGCACAUUGAUGGCUUCAUCGUGACUGGCUUCACGCAGGUCGAUUCCGUUCACCUGCGACGAGAGAAAAAAAAAGAGUGUGAGUGUCAUUUGGGGUUCAGAGGUUACAUUCCAGGGCUGGAUAUUGUCUGCAGUGGCCGAGGCCAGACAAAGAGCCACCCCCCCCCUCGCCGUCCUCCCACAAGCCUGACUGAGCAGACAAAAUAGAUGGGGCUGAGGAGAGGACAACAAGAGAGGAGGAGGACGAAGAGGACAACGAAGACUGUGACAACAUCAUUUCCUACAUUCCUGAGCUGCCACGGCUAUUUCCAACCUGAUUGUACCACCACCAAAGUUUCUAAGGUGUCGCAGCCUCCCACGAUGCUAAGGCCCAGGCCUGUGCGGCCCUUGGAGAUAUCGAUGGUGGUCUCACAGCCGGGGAUGAUGGGACAGGUCGCCGGGUCGCAGGCCAGAGUGGAAGGAGUGGACGAGCGACUCGGACCUGAAAUAGUGGAAGCAAGAGAGGAAACGCGAUAGCCACCAUUCAGACCAGUAGGCUCCUGUUGUUCUGGGCUCCCUGCCAUUGUUGAACCAUCAGUCCUGUACUAAUCUCCACAACUCACCUUCCUGGGCCUAACCUCAUCAAUCUUAUCCCCGCAGGAUGGACUCUGGGUGGAUUUAUGAACAGGCGGGACAAGCGUGGAACUGGGAGGACCUCUAGUGGCAGCAGGUCUGCCAGGAAUCUCUGUCAGCGUGUCUGUAUCAGUCUCUCCCACAUGGGGCACCACUGGCAGGAGGAGGACAGCGCUGGUGGGAGAUGCCUUUGCUGCUUCACGCCUCGCCGGCUGUCACGCCACAGAUGGG
This is a long non-coding RNA of Scatophagus argus, 1225 nucleotides long. RefSeq lists it as uncharacterized. Lineage: Eukaryota; Metazoa; Chordata; Actinopteri; Scatophagidae. The transcript has 8 exons. The record is from RefSeq and is a predicted model, not a curated record.